GGACUACCGGGGUAUCUAAUCCUGUUCGAUCCCCACGCUUUCGCGCCUCAGCGUCAGUAUUAAGCCAGGUGGCUGCCUUCGCCAUUGACGUUCCUUCCGAUCUCUACGCAUUUCACCGCUACACCGGAAAUUCCGCCACCCUCUCUUAUACUCCAGUUAUGUCGUUUGCGAUGCACUUCCUAGGUUAAGCCCAGGGCUUUCACACCACACUCACAUAACCGCCUACGCGCCCUUUACGCCCAGUAACUCCGAUUAACGCUCGCACCCUCUGUAUUACCGCGGCUGCUGGCAC
RNAcentral lists this ribosomal RNA (292 nucleotides) under uncultured bacterium. Its description in RNAcentral is "partial 16S ribosomal RNA". The record is from RNAcentral.